RNAcentral lists this ribosomal RNA (561 nucleotides) under uncultured bacterium. RNAcentral describes it as "bacterial SSU rRNA". It matches the Rfam family "Bacterial small subunit ribosomal RNA", at positions 363 to 916 of the family's 1533-position model. The record is from RNAcentral.
GUCGUGGGCCGGCAGCUGAUGCAGCCAUGCCGCGUGUGUGAUGAAGGCCUUCGGGUUGUAAAGCUCUUUCAGCGGGGAAGAAAAUGACGGGGCCUAUACCCGAAACCCUUGACGUUUCCCGGAGAAGAAGCACCGGCUAACUCCGGGCCCUAGGCCGCGGUAAUACUUAAUGGGGGUAAAGUUAAUCGGAAUUACUGGGCGUAAAGCGGGUGAAAUCCGCCUGUUUAGUCCGAUGUGAAAUCCCCGGGCUCAACCUGGGAACUGCAUUUGAAACUGGUGGGAUUCAGUCUUGUAAAGGGGGGUUGAAUUCCAUGUGUAGGAACAACAUGCGUAAAAAUCUGGAGGAACACCCGUGGUGAAGGCGGCCCCCUGGACCGUGACUGACGCUCAGGAUUAAAAGCCCUGGGAGCAAACAGGAUUAAAUACCCUGGUAGUCCACGCCGUAAACGAUGUCUACUAGGACGUUCGUGAACAUUUAAGGGUUUCUUCCGCGAGCUAAACGGUUUAAUCCACCCGCCUGGGAAGAACGGACGGAAGGUUAAAACUCAAAGGAUUUGACGG